GGAAGGGCGCAAAAGAUCUGCCUUGUCACACCCUCAAAACGUUCUGACCCUUUGACCUCUUCUAACUGUGACCGGGACAUUCUUAUUGGUCCCAUUUUUGCUUAAGAUAUUUUUGGUUGUUAUUUUUUUGUUUGUCAUAUUUUUGGUGUGAUUUUUCUGUCGUGAUAUUAAUGUCCGUGAAAAAAAGUACUGUAACAUUAACGACUAAAAGAGUAUACGAUAUCAUUGUGAAGUAAAAAGAGAAAAUCAAAAAAUAGAAAGACGACAACGCUGCCUAUUGGAAGUGAACCCUCCGUUAUGAAUAGUCUCAUACGGAGCAAAGGCCAAGAAAAUGUUUUGGACUUGAAAUAACAACAGUGGUACUACGCAUUUCUUACGUUAAUCCAGAUCGUCUGGCAAUUUUUCUGAGUCUCCUAAAAAUCGUGGGACAUGGGUGGAGCAGAGCAAAUUGAGAAAAUCGGACGACUACGAAGCUUUCAUAUGGAACCGGAAAUGAACGAAUGUUCAGGCAGCGGAUCUAUCUUGCUGAGUUAUCAAUAGCCGAUCGGCGAAUGAUUCAUUUACCUCGAGAAU
Long non-coding RNA from Diachasmimorpha longicaudata, 573 nucleotides. RefSeq lists it as uncharacterized. The record is from RefSeq and is a predicted model, not a curated record. The transcript is spliced from 3 exons. Lineage: Eukaryota; Metazoa; Arthropoda; Insecta; Hymenoptera; Braconidae.